Molecule: ribosomal RNA, 427 nt
Filed under: uncultured Eubacterium sp.
Lineage: Bacteria; Bacillati; Bacillota; Clostridia; Eubacteriales; Eubacteriaceae
Description: bacterial SSU rRNA
Rfam family: Bacterial small subunit ribosomal RNA
Source: RNAcentral
UGGGGGAAUAUUGCGGCAAUGGGGGGAAACCCUGACGCAGCAACGCCGCGUGAUCGAAGAAGGUCUUCGGAUUGUAAACCUCUGUUUUCGGUGACGAACAAAUGACGGUAACCGAGUAGGAAGCCAUGGCUAACUACGUGCCAGCAGCCGCGGUAAUACGUAGGUGGCAAGCGUUAUCCGGAAUUACUGGGUGUAAAGGGAGCGCAGGCGGGAUAGCAAGUCAGCUGUGAAAACUAUGGGCUCAACCCAUAAACUGCAGUUGAAACUGUUAUUCUUGAGUGGAGUAGAGGCAAGCGGAAUUCCGAGUGUAGCGGUGAAAUGCGUAGAUAUUCGGAGGAACACCAGUGGCGAAGGCGGCUUGCUGGGCUCUAACUGACGCUGAGGCUCGAAAGUGUGGGGAGCAAACAGGAUUAGAUACCCUGGUAGU